UUCUUCGGAAUGAAAUUAAGUGGAUUAGUGGCGAACGGGUGAGUAACACGUGAGUAACCUGCCUUACGCAAGGGGAUAGCCUUUGGAAACGAAGAAUAAUACCCUAUAAAGUCAAUUUAUCGCAUGAUAGAGUGACCAAAGAUUUAUCGGUGUAAGAUGGACUUGCGUCUGAUUAGCUAGUUGGUGAGAUAAAAGCCCACCAAGGCGACGAUCAGUAGCCGGCUUGAGAGAGUGUACGGCCACAUUGGGACUGAGACACGGCCCAAACUCCUACGGGAGGCAGCAGUGGGGAAUUUUGCACAAUGGGGGAAACCCUGAUGCAGCGACGCCGCGUGAUUUAGAAGGCCUUCGGGUUGUAAAAAUCUUUUUUAUGGGAUGAAAAUGACAGUACCAUAAGAAUAAGGUCCGGCUAAAUACGUGCCAGCAGCCGCGGUAAUACGUAUGGAUCGAGCGUUGUCCGGAAUCAUUGGGCGUAAAGGGUACGUAGGCGGCCUAGUAAGUUAGAAGUGAAAUAAUAUAGCUCAACUAUAUAAAGCUUUUAAAACUGUUAGGCUUGAGAGAUGAAAGGGAAAGUGGAAUUCCUAGUGUAGCGGUGAAAUGCGCAGAUAUUAGGAAGAAUACCGGUGGCGAAGGCGACUUUCUGGUCAUCAUCUGACGCU
This 659-nucleotide ribosomal RNA is filed under the name uncultured Clostridium sp. RNAcentral's name for it is "bacterial SSU rRNA". It matches the Rfam family "Bacterial small subunit ribosomal RNA", at positions 76 to 747 of the family's 1533-position model. Lineage: Bacteria; Bacillati; Bacillota; Clostridia; Eubacteriales; Clostridiaceae. The record is from RNAcentral.